GAGUUUGAUCAUGGCUCAGAAUCAACGCUGGCGGCGUGCCUAACACAUGCAAGUCGAACGAGAAAGGGACUUCGGUCCUGAGUAGAGUGGCGCACGGGUGAGUAACACGUGACUAACCUACCUUUGAGUGGGGGAUAACCUAGGGAAACCUGGGCUAAUACCGCAUAAUACCUACGGGUCAAAGCGAGCAAUCGCGCUUUAAGAGGGGGUCGCGGCAGAUUAGCUAGUUGGUGAGGUAAUGGCUCACCAAGGCGAUGAUCUGUACCCGGCCUGAGAGGGCGCACGGACACACUGGAACUGAAACACGGUCCAGACUCCUACGGGAGGCAGCAGUGGGGAAUUUUGCGCAAUGGGGGAAACCCUGACGCAGCAACGCCGCGUGGAGGAUGAAGUCUCUUGGGACGUAAACUCCUUUCGAUAGGGACGAUAAUGACGGUACCUAUAGAAGAAGCCCCGGCUAACUUCGUGCCAGCAGCCGCGGUAAUACG
RNAcentral lists this ribosomal RNA (488 nucleotides) under uncultured eubacterium WR152. RNAcentral's name for it is "bacterial SSU rRNA". It matches the Rfam family "Bacterial small subunit ribosomal RNA", at positions 9 to 527 of the family's 1533-position model. The record is from RNAcentral.